AGGAAUGUUGCUGCUUAAAAUAUUUAUUAUCACAUUAAACUUCUCAAAUACAAAAAGAAGUGGAUCAAAUAUCAGAUUUGUAUUUGAACACCAGUAAGAUUUGAGACGAUAAAGAAAAGAAAUUAAAGUAUUGCUCAUGAGCACUGUGACCGGUGGUGCAGCUGAAGCUUACUUCGGUGGAGGAACAAAGUUAACAGUUUUAGACUCAAAGAUUGAAGUCAAAGGACCGACCAAAGUGAAAGUUUUAAAACCUUCAACAAAACAGUGCAACUAUAAAAAUGACCAAGAGAACAAGGAGGAGAAGGAGAAGAAAAAGAAGACGCUGGUGUGUGUGGCGUCGGGCUUCUACCCAGAUCAUGUCACUGUGUCCUGGCACAUGCCCGGGAUAAACAUUACUACGGGUGUGGCGACUGACAACACUCCCCUGUGGGAUGUAGACUCCAAGUCAUACAAGAUCACCAGCAGGCUGAUGAUUGAUGCUAAAACAUGGUUCAAGCCUGAUAAUGUGUUCACCUGCACCGUCCGCUUCUACAAUGGAACUCAUUACAACUUAUACCAUGAUUCAGUUUCUGGUGUUGAAGGUGAAGGCCUGACAGGAGAGAAAUAUGUGAGGAUCACACAGAACGCCAAACUCUCCUACGGUGUUUUUAUCAUCAAGAGCUGCAUCUAUGGAGCCUUUGUUGCCUUUUUGGUGUGGAAGCUCCAGGGUUCCCAUGGCAACAAGUGAGAGCUAAGCUGAAACCGUAACUCUUCUUUUCUGUACAUAAUAAGUAAAGCGGCUGUAUUUCUGUAAAGCUGCAGUGCUGUAUUUGUGUUCGUGUGAAAGACAUUUUAAUUCUUUGACUAUUUUCUCUCUUAAUAAUGCUUGUUUGUUCAAUUUUCUUUUCAAUAAAAAGAUGAUGUUGGAAA
Molecule: non-coding RNA, 909 nt
Organism: Melanotaenia boesemani (Boeseman's rainbowfish)
Lineage: Eukaryota; Metazoa; Chordata; Actinopteri; Atheriniformes; Melanotaeniidae
Source: the annotation of a RefSeq genome assembly